Molecule: ribosomal RNA, 460 nt
Filed under: uncultured bacterium
Lineage: Bacteria
Description: partial 16S ribosomal RNA
Rfam family: Bacterial small subunit ribosomal RNA
Source: RNAcentral
CCUACGGGCGGCAGCAGUGAGGAAUAUUGGUCAAUGGGCGCGAGCCUGAACCAGCCAAGUAGCGUGAAGGAUGACUGCCCUCCGGGUUGUAAACUUCUUUUAUAAAGGAAUAAAGUGCGGCACGUGUGCCUUUUUGUAUGUACUUUAUGAAUAAGGCUCGGCUAACUCCGUGCCAGCAGCCGCGGUAAUCCGGAGGGGCCGAGCGUUAUCCGGAUUUAUGGGGUUUAAAGGGGGCGUGGAUGGGUUGUUAAGUCAGUUGUGAAAGUUUGCGGCUCAACCGUAAAAUUGCAAUUGAUACUGGCAGACUUGAGUGCAGUUGAGGAGGGCGGAAUUCGUGGUGUAGCGGUGAAAUGCGUAGAUAUCACGAAGAACUCCGAUUGCGAAGGCAGCUUACUAAACUGCAACUGACAUUGAGGCUCGAAAGUGUGGGUAUCAAACAGGAUUAGAUACCCUUGUAGUC